UACGUAGGGCGCUAGCGUUAUCCGGAUUUAUUGGGCGUAAAGGGUCGCGUAGGCGGCCCGCCGCAUCUUAUCUUAAACUGUCACGCUUAACGUGAUUUCGGAUAAGAGAUGGGCGGGCUAGAGGGCCGGUGGAGUUUCUGGAACUUUCGGUGUAGCAGUGAAAUGCGUUGAUAUCGAAAGGAACACCAAGAGCGAAGGCAGGAAACUAACCGGUACCUGACGCUGAGGCACGACAGCUAGGGGAGCGAAGCAGAUUAGAGACCUGCGUAGUCCUAGCCGUAAACGCAUGAGUGCUAGUUGCGCGGCCGCAAGGCUGCGUGACGCAAGCUAACGCGUUAAGCACUCCGCCUGGGGAGUACGGCCGCAAGGCUAAAACUCAAAGGAAUUGGCGGGGACCCGCACAACCGGUGGAGCAUGUGGUUUAAUUCGAGACAAAGCGAAAGACCUCACCACGGUUUGACAUGCUAUCGUUUAUUUUCCCAGAAACGGGAGAAAAUCCGUAAGGAUGAUAGCAAAGCUGCUGCAUGGCCGUCGUCAGCUCGUACCGUGAGGUGUUCCCUUAAGUGGGGUAACGAGCGCAACCCUUACCGUUUGUUAAAUUUUCAAACGGGACUGUCCCGUAGUUUUACGGGAAGGAAGGUGGGGACGAAGUCAGGUCAGCACGGCGCCUAUGCCGUGGGCCACACACAUCCUACAAUGGCGAAAAACAACGAGUAGCAAGGCCGCGAGGCCAAGCAAAUCUCUGAAAUUUCGUCUCAGUUGGAAUUGCAGUCUGCAACUCGACUGCAUGAACUUGGAAUCGGUAGUAAUCGCGGAUCAGCAGGCCGCGGUGAAUACGUUCUCGGGUCU
RNAcentral lists this ribosomal RNA (849 nucleotides) under uncultured bacterium. RNAcentral describes it as "bacterial SSU rRNA". It matches the Rfam family "Bacterial small subunit ribosomal RNA", at positions 524 to 1381 of the family's 1533-position model. The record is from RNAcentral.